GAUUAACGCUGGCGGCAUGCCUAACACAUGCAAGUCGAAUGAAUUUAUAUUCAUGGCGAACGGCUGAGUAACGCGUGGGAACUUACCCCUAAGUCAAGCAUAACCCAUCGAAAGGUGGGAUAAUACUUGAUAUUCUCUUCGGAGGAAAGAUUUAUCGCUUAGGGAGAGGCCUGCGUUCGAUUAGCUUGUUGGUGAGGUAAAAGCUCACCAAGGCUCUGAUCGAUAGAGGGCUCGAGAGGGUGACCCUCCAGACUGGGACUGAGACACGGCCCAGACUCCUAUGGGAGGCAGCAGUGGGGAAUUUUGCGCAAUGCGGGAAACCGUGACGCAGCAAUGCCGCGUGCAGGAAGACGGCCUUCGGGUUGUAAACUGCUUUUGUUCAUGAAGAUUAUGACGGUAAUGGACGAAUAAGAACUUGCUAACUACG
Molecule: ribosomal RNA, 427 nt
Filed under: uncultured bacterium
Lineage: Bacteria
Description: bacterial SSU rRNA
Rfam family: Bacterial small subunit ribosomal RNA
Source: RNAcentral